GCUCUAACAUUUGUUGCUUCGAAGAUAUCUCGGAUGUUACUUUUGAUGCGUGAUCUAAAAACUUAUUGGUCCUGGAAUAAUUUGAACUACCAAUUUCGAAAAUAUCUGAAUCUUUUAGAUCACGCCACAUAAAAAAAUCACAAUAAUUUUCUGAGAUCUUUCCAUAGUUCGGACAUCCAAAAAAUUCUUUUCCUUUGCUCUUAGGUUGUUGUGAAACUCGAAUAACAGCAGCUUUAUUACAAUUGCAACGAACAACUCCACUUGCAUGACAGUUUUUUCUGGACCAGCCCAUCGCAUAGAGCACCUACUCUGUGCUAUUAAUUUAUCUGAUAACCUGCAUGCACAUUGAUUAUAAUAUUAGUACAUUAAACUAAAAAAAACUACUCAUGUU
This 391-nucleotide long non-coding RNA is filed under the name Ananas comosus (pineapple). Its description in RNAcentral is "long non-coding RNA (ACOM_LNC014830)". Lineage: Eukaryota; Viridiplantae; Streptophyta; Magnoliopsida; Poales; Bromeliaceae. The record is from RNAcentral.